Molecule: long non-coding RNA, 246 nt
Organism: Cucurbita maxima (winter squash)
Lineage: Eukaryota; Viridiplantae; Streptophyta; Magnoliopsida; Cucurbitales; Cucurbitaceae
Exons: 3
Source: RefSeq, a predicted model, not a curated record
GGAAAAUUUAGGUUUUGUGAUAUAAGAAUUGUGGGAAUGUAGCUCAGAUGGUAGAGUGCUCGCUUAGCAUACGAAAGAAUCAUGGGGAUGUAGCUAAAUGGUAGAGCGAUCACUUUGCAUGCGAGAGAUACGGCCUGCAUCUCCAAAGGAACACUAUCAAUAAUUAAGUUUAGGAUUUUGUGACAUAAGAAUUUGGGGAUGUAGCUCAAAUGGUAGAGCGCUCGCUUCGCAUGUGAAAAGUACAAG